ACUAUGUUCCUUUUGGGCUGCUGC
This 24-nucleotide non-coding RNA is filed under the name Arabidopsis thaliana (thale cress). Lineage: Eukaryota; Viridiplantae; Streptophyta; Magnoliopsida; Brassicales; Brassicaceae. The record is from RNAcentral.